UCUGUCAUAAAAUCAUGUUCAUGUUUGGAGCAGUUGGUCUUGUUUUGUUGAACUCUGGUACACUGACAGCAGAACUGAUCCUGAAAGCACGAAAUGGUGAGCAUGUCGUGAAGGAUCUGAGAGUCGUAGUAUUUCUCUCUGAAUGUGUUUUUGUCUUAUAUUGGAUGAUUUUACAAAUAUGUGCUUUCUAUUAAGCCUGGAUUUAUAUGUAAACAAGGGAACUGACUUCAAUGAUGCAGAUUUCAUCUCAGGGUAAUGUAAUUAUUAUCAUGUUACAAUGUUUAGGCUGAUCUGCAGUAUAAGGCUUUAAAAGAUGUGUUCAGUUGUAUAGAUGCCAGUUUCUUCUUGUUUCUUUCAAAAACACAGAGUACA
This is a long non-coding RNA of Sinocyclocheilus grahami, 372 nucleotides long. RefSeq lists it as uncharacterized. NCBI's taxonomy places the organism in Eukaryota, Metazoa, Chordata, Actinopteri, Cypriniformes, Cyprinidae. The transcript is spliced from 4 exons. The record is from RefSeq and is a predicted model, not a curated record.